Molecule: ribosomal RNA, 2048 nt
Filed under: human gut metagenome
Description: bacterial LSU rRNA
Rfam family: Bacterial large subunit ribosomal RNA
Source: RNAcentral
AGGGCGUAUGGCGGAUGCCUAGGCUCACGGAGGCGAUGAAGGACGUGAUAAGCUGCGAUAAGCUUCGGGUAGGUGCAAAUAACCUUUGAUCCGAAGAUUUCCGAAUGGGACAACCUAGCCGUCUGAAGGACGGUUACUCUUACCAAUGUAAGAGAGCUAACGCAGGGAACUGAAACAUCUUAGUACCUGCAGGAAGAGAAAAUAAAUGAAUGAUUCCCCCAGUAGUGGCGAGCGAACGGGGAACAGCCCAAACCAGUGGCGUCGCAAGGCGUGGCUGGGGUUGUAGGACCGCGACAUUGUAUUGAAAUGGUGAGUGGAAGUAUCUGGAAAGUUACAUCACAGAAGGUGAUAAUCCUGUACACGAAGCCAAAUCAAGCAUAGCGGUAUCCUGAGUAACGCGGGACACGAGGAAUCCUGCGCGAAUCUGCCGGGACCAUCCGGUAAGGCUAAAUACUCCCGUGAGACCGAUAGCGAACGAGUACUGUGAAGGAAAGGUGAAAAGAACCCCGAGCAGGGGAGUGAAAUAGUUCCUGAAACCAUACGCCUACAAGCGGUCGGAGCAUCGCAAGAUGUGACGGCGUGCCUUUUGCAUAAUGAUCCUACGAGUUACCGUCACUGGCGAGGUUGAGUGUCAUGAGACACGUAGCCGCAGUGAAAGCGAGCCUGAACAGGGCGCACAGUCAGUGGGGGUAGACGCGAAACCAAGUGAUCUACACUUGGCCAGGAUGAAGUCCCGGUAACACGGGAUGGAGGUCCGCACCAAUAAGCGUUGAAAAGCUUCUGGAUGAGCCGAGUGUAGGAGUGAAAGGCCAAUCAAACUUGGAGAUAGCUCGUACUCCCCGAAAGGCAUUUAGGUGCCGCGUCGGAUGGUCACCGUGAGAGGUAGAGCGACCGAUAGGACAAGAGGGCUUCACCGCCUAUCGAGUCCUGACGAACUCCGAAUGCUCACGGUUUGCAGUCCGGCAGUAAGGGGGCGGGUGCUAAGGUCCGUCCCCGAGAGGAGAAGAAUCCAGACCGCCGUCUAAGGUCCCGGAGUUCUGCCUGAGUUAGUCUAACGAAGUCUGGUCCCUAUGACAGCUAGGAUGUUGGCUUGGAAGCAGCCAUUCAUUCAAAGAGUGCGUAACAGCUCACUAGUCGAGGGUCCGGGCAUGGAUAAUAAUCGGGUAUAAGGCAGACACCGAAGGCGCGGGAUAGCAAUUAUAAAAGUAUCGGUAGGGGAGCAUACUCACAGCGUCGAAUGGUGUACGUAAGUUAUCCUGGAGCGGUGAGUAAAGCAAAUGUAGGAAUAAGUAACGAUAAGGAGGGUUAGAUUCCCUCCCGCUGUAAGACCAAGGUUUCCCGGGCAAUGCCAAUCAGCCCGGGGUCAGUCGGGUCCUAAGUCUAAGCCGAACGGCGAUGGCGAUGGCAGAGACGGUUAAUAUUCCGUCACUGCCGCAUGGGGCGACGUGGAGACGGAGCAGUGAAACCACCGCGGGGCGACGGAAGUCCCCGUUGAAGAGUGUAGGUGUUGAGAGGGGCAGGCAAAUCCACCCCUUGAGCUGAACUUGACAGUACGGAGUCCUCUUCGGAGGAAUCUGAUAGUGUGGGUAAUCAUACUCCCGAGAAAAUCCGCUAAGCUUAACCCAUGCGGCACCCGUACCGCAAACGGACACACGUGGUCGGGUAGAACAUACUAAGGCGUUGAGAGAUUCAUGGUUAAGGAACUAGGCAAACUGACCCCGUAACUUCGGGAUAAGGGGUCCUCGUGAAUAGCGAGGCGCAGAGAAUAGGUCCAGGCAACUGUUUAACAAAAACACAGGGCUGUGCGAAAUCGAAAGAUGAGGUAUACAGCCUGACACCUGCCCGGUGCCGGAAGGUUAAGAGGAGAUGUCACCGCAAGGGAAGCAUUGAAUUGAAGCCCCGGUAAACGGCGGCCGUAACUAUAACGGUCCUAAGGUAGCGAAAUUCCUUGUCGGGUAAGUUCCGACCUGCACGAAUGGUGUAAUGAUCCGGACACUGUCUCAACCGUGAGCUCGGUGAAAUUGUAGUAUCGGUGAAGAUGCCGAUUA